RNAcentral lists this non-coding RNA (29 nucleotides) under Rattus norvegicus (Norway rat). The record is from RNAcentral. Lineage: Eukaryota; Metazoa; Chordata; Mammalia; Rodentia; Muridae.
UUUGAAAUUCAAUUCAUUGGCACUCACAC